AGUGACCUACAUGUGACACACAGCUCCUCCAGAGGGUGUCCUGUAUACAACCAAGCAAUUUCCCUGGCCAGAUCUUGAUUUUUAAGCCUGGCACCUCAUCUGCCCAAAGUACAGCUACCACUGGCUUUCAGUGGUGACAUCCACCUCUUCAAAGACUGCUUGAAUGAAGUGCCCUGCAUCACCUGGGACAAAGUGAAGUUGCGGUGCCCCUGCCUUUGGGGAAUCUGCUGAAGCAGAACUCACGUGUCUCAGGGAUGCUGAAAGGAUAAUCUGGUUGAUGGCAGUAGAUGGACUGGCCACCUAGAAGCAGAACAGCAGGUGCUAUAAUGGGUGCCUCUGCAGAUCUGACUGGAGCUACUGCAGUCAGGGACA
Non-coding RNA from Zonotrichia albicollis (white-throated sparrow), 372 nucleotides. NCBI's taxonomy places the organism in Eukaryota, Metazoa, Chordata, Aves, Passeriformes, Passerellidae. The record is from RefSeq and is a predicted model, not a curated record.